This is a long non-coding RNA of Suricata suricatta (meerkat), 1586 nucleotides long. RefSeq lists it as uncharacterized. The record is from RefSeq and is a predicted model, not a curated record. The transcript has 4 exons. NCBI's taxonomy places the organism in Eukaryota, Metazoa, Chordata, Mammalia, Carnivora, Herpestidae.
UCUGACCUGAGCCAAAGUUGGAGGCGUAACCAACUGAGCCAACCAGGUGCCCCAAGAUCCAGCCUCUAUUUCUAAGAACUCUGACAUUGAAUAUAUGAUUCCCUUCCAUCAGAAACACUGCCCCUGUGUUCCCUUCCCCCCCAUCAUUUUGCCCCUUGUCUCUCCCCCCAGAAUGCCAUAUCUUAUUAGAAGUUAUUGUGCUUGUAGGAAUAGAGAACAUUACAGCACGCCGAGAUGUGGAAGCUGGGGAGUGGCUGAGCCUAUACUAGCUAAUGACCUGAACAUCGUGGCACUGGGCCUACAUUUGAACUUCAGUAAAAUGACAAGACCUCACACAUUGGACCUGCAGAGUUAACUCAGCUCUCAGCUGGAAUCCAGACCGAAUUAGGAAGACCAGACAGAGGGAGGCAUUUUACUGACUGAAUAGACCGUCAUGGGCUGGAGAACUGGCAGCAGGAGGCAACUUUGGAAGCUCACCCUUCCCUCAGCUAAAGCACAGCAGGGCCUGCUGUCCACGGCCAAGAAAGCGUAUAGCUAAGCACUUACAGCCAUGAUUCCGUCCCAGCUCCUAGAGCUCUGGCUCACUGAAAAAUACAGCCCAAUAGCUGGGAAUUCCCGGCUGGCACUGGGGCUUCUACGCCAUCAGGCAUCAUGGCAGAUGUGACGGGAACCAACAAAAGCCUCUUGAGGAAAUCCUUGGUUCUAAAGGUCCAUAACCUUCGUGAUACUAGAGCAAAGUUGUUUAGGCCAUGAAAUUUCAUCAUGCAUAAGCAAAAAUGUGGCAGGAUGUUCAUCACUAGAGCAAGGUAUGCCUAAGAAAUACAGUGAGCUCUAUUCAAAGCACUGAGGGAAGAAGCAUUACUUGAAAGAGGAGAAAUGAGUUCUUAGGUAUAAAAGCAGGAAAAUACCUUAAUUUUAUCUCUAGUGCAUAUUUGCAGUGACAUACCCAGCAUGUCCAGGGAGAUACUGGUACAUUCCAUACAGGAUUCCAGGGCACGAGUCCAAACUUAAAUUUCCUUCUAUGAAGACAGCACCAGAAAGAUCCCGAGUUGUAUCCAUGGGUUUCAUCACUCAUUCCUCCCCUUUGUUAGGAGGCGUGUCUGUAAACAUACUGACACAUAUAUAACAAGAUCAGGAGUGUUGGGGCGGGGUGGGCGUCAUGUGGGGGCCUUCCAGAUCAUGUGUGCACCUCUAGUUCUAUUUCCAUUAGGAGGAAACUUCAGGGGGGAUAAAAGAUAAACAGAGCCAUGCUCCAGUGGCCUCCUCUUUACACUUAUAAAGACAACUUGAAAUGGGAGAACGUUUCAGAUUAAAGAUUCUGCGUCUGUUCUGGAAUAACAGGCAGCCUUCCUAAGGCUUGCUUAUCUCAAAUGGGGAGGCGGGGGCUCAGGGGGUGAGACCACUAACUCAAGUUUUUGGGUCAGUCUGAAAAAUCUCUGUUCUCUCGUACGCUUUAAAAGGCUAACUUUUCCUGAUAACGAGUGUUUCUGGUCAAACACAUCGAACAUGCUGGGCUUUAUUUUUUAAGGUUAUUUAUUUUGAGAGAGAGAGAGAGAUUACAAGUGGGGGAGGGUCAGAAAGAAGGA